This 328-nucleotide long non-coding RNA is filed under the name Mytilus galloprovincialis (Mediterranean mussel). Lineage: Eukaryota; Metazoa; Mollusca; Bivalvia; Mytilida; Mytilidae. The record is from RNAcentral.
CGUCCGUCUAGUGUAAACUAUUUCAAACAUCUUCUUCUCUGAAACUGCUGAACCAAUUCCAACCAAACGUAAGCUGAAUGAUCCUUAGGGUAUCUAGAAUAAAGUAUGUGUUUUAUUUUUUGUUUCGUCAAAAACAUGACCACCAUGGCUAAAAAUAGAACAUAGGGGCAAAAUGCAGUUUUGUUUAUAUCUCAAAAACCAAAGCAGUUAGACAAAUCUGACGCGGGAUAAAGUGUUCAUAAGGUAAAGUUCUACACCUUUAAAAAUUUCAGAUGAAUUUAAUAACCCAUUGUUGAGUUGCUGCCACUAAAUUGUAAUUUUAAGGAAA